RNAcentral lists this transfer RNA (74 nucleotides) under Candidatus Thermofontimicrobiaceae bacterium. RNAcentral's name for it is "tRNA-Arg". It matches the Rfam family "tRNA". Rfam says of the family: Transfer RNA (tRNA) molecules are approximately 80 nucleotides in length. Their secondary structure includes four short double-helical elements and three loops (D, anti-codon, and T loops). The record is from RNAcentral. Lineage: Bacteria; Pseudomonadati; Candidatus Thermofontimicrobiales; Candidatus Thermofontimicrobiaceae. RNAcentral also lists the same sequence under 1 other name.
GCGCCCGUAGCUCAAUUGGAUAGAGCAUCUGACUUCGGAUCAGAGGGUUAGGGGUUCGAGUCCCUUCGGGCGUA